UUUGCCGUACUCAAUGGCCCGUUGGAAUUAUAGUGAACUCAUUAAAAAGCUCAGACGAACAUGUCCGAAAAGCAGAAGUGCGAGUAAUCGUUAAUGGAAAAGCCACAACCUACACACGCCCUAUCGUGGACAUGAUUCUUCUCAUAGAGAACAACCCUGUGUAAUUAUAUGUAUAUAUUUUUGGAUUCAUAUAGUGACAUUCAUAUGUGUUAUGGAAUAGUGAUAUCAGGUAGAUUUCAGACGGGGAGUAUUCUGAUUCACUUUCGCAAUUAUAUUAACUGUAUAGUCUAUUGGAUUAAAUUUUCAGACAUCCAUAUUUUCCGGAAAUAAUCUGGACUUGUCCGUAUUUUCACUAGUGCUUACUUUCUCUUCCUCACCUGUCUAUUGCAAAUGGAUGCCACGACAAAACGACUCCUGUGGAUAUUGUGACAAAUCACCGUCAAGUACGUUUCAAAUCAAUUAUAAACUGUUAAAUAUAUAUACCGUUAAUUCCGUUAACUUGGAUUCCACGUUUAUUCAACAAAUACGAACUGUAAUUGUUUAUUUCUAUGAAUUGAACUGAGAAUUCUACUUUCGUUUUUGACUUGAUAUUAUUACUGCAUUGAACAUUCAUAUAUUUCUUUCGUACAUAUUGUAAAUUUGUAUUUUUAUUUCUUUCAGUUUACCAAACAAUACACGCUCUGUAAAAACUCCUGUGUCAUUUCUGGUGGAAUUAUAAUCUACAAUCUUCAAACACAAGUUGUUAUUCUUUAUAAUUUGCCGAGAUUGCGAUACAGUCCCAUGGUUAUACUAGCUGAGUCAGGCUCAGCAUAA
This 813-nucleotide long non-coding RNA is filed under the name Mytilus galloprovincialis (Mediterranean mussel). The record is from RNAcentral. Lineage: Eukaryota; Metazoa; Mollusca; Bivalvia; Mytilida; Mytilidae.